Seriola dumerili (greater amberjack) is the source of this 682-nucleotide long non-coding RNA. RefSeq lists it as uncharacterized. The transcript is spliced from 3 exons. NCBI's taxonomy places the organism in Eukaryota, Metazoa, Chordata, Actinopteri, Carangiformes, Carangidae. The record is from RefSeq and is a predicted model, not a curated record.
UGUCUUCCGGUUGACCUUUGUGUGUUCACGUGGGGGAUACGGAAAAAAAGACACAGAGGAGAAAAAAACGGACGAUGGGCUAGAGAAGAGCUGCAUUUGUGGGAGAGUCAUUGCCGACGUUUUUGGUUAUUGUGGUUUUCAUGUUGGACUGUGUAAAUCUUGCUACUGAAGAAAAAGCUCGGAGUUGACUUUACCAGAGUUGGGACAGUUUAUUAAUAACGUGUUUUUCCUGCUACCGAGAGCGUGGAGUUAGCCACGUUAGCUCAUUACAGCUGCCGCCGUCGAGGGAGAGCGGUCGGACAUCGCUUCACCUGCACAGACGAGAGGAGGAGACUGGUCGGGAGGAGCUGCAGCGGCCGUCGCGGACGUUUUGCUGAGGCUGGAGACCAUCUGCUUGCUGUCUGCUGCUGUUGGGAGUGUGCAUGCUGCUGCUAACCAUUGCGGGCUAAGCCAGGCCUGACGAGGAGGAUUUUCACGGAGGUGGUCAGAUGGUUGGAAAGCUUCAGAAACCCCCUACACCUGCAUCCUCCUGACAUCAGCCGCUGCUUUUCCAAUGACUGCGUGGUGCGGGAAAUGCUUUUUGAGACACUCUGCAGUUUUCAUCACCAUCCAUCACCAUGUUUUUUCUGUACCUACUGCACAGCUGAGACAGAGACAUAAAGAUGGAGAACUGCUCUGUGUU